UACGUAGGUGGCAAGCGUUGUCCGGAAUUAUUGGGCGUAAAGCGCGCGCAGGCGGUCCUUUAAGUCUGAUGUGAAAGCCCACGGCUCAACCGUGGAGGGUCAUUGGAAACUGGGGGACUUGAGUGCAGGAGAGAAGAGUGGAAUUCCUGGUGGAGCGGUGAAAUGCGCAGAUAUCAGGAGGAACACCCGUAGCGAAGGCGGCACUCUGGGCCGGAACUGACGCUGAGGAGCGAAAGCGUGGGGAGCGAACAGG
Molecule: ribosomal RNA, 253 nt
Filed under: uncultured bacterium
Lineage: Bacteria
Description: partial 16S ribosomal RNA
Rfam family: Bacterial small subunit ribosomal RNA
Source: RNAcentral